This 305-nucleotide ribosomal RNA is filed under the name uncultured bacterium. RNAcentral's name for it is "bacterial SSU rRNA". It matches the Rfam family "Bacterial small subunit ribosomal RNA", at positions 337 to 656 of the family's 1533-position model. The record is from RNAcentral.
GCCUACGGGACGCAGCAGUGGGGAAUAUUGCACAAUGGGCGAAAGCCUGAUGCAGCAACGCCGCGUGAAGGAAGACGGUUUUCGGAUUGUAAACUUCUAUCACUAGGGAAGAAAGAAAUGACGGUACCUAAAUAAGAAGCCCCGGCUAACUGCGUGCCAGCAGCCGCGGUAAUACGUAGGGGGCAAGCGUUAUCCGGAAUUACUGGGUGUAAGGGGAGAGUAGGCGGCAAGGUAAGCGAUAUGUGAAAGCCUUAAGCUUAACUUAAGGAUUGCAUAACGAACUAUCUAGCUAGAGGACAGGAGAG